UCCCUGGUGGUCCAGUGGCUAAGAUUUGCACUCCCAAUGCAGGGGCCCUGGGUUCGAUCCCUGGUCAGGGAA
Molecule: transfer RNA, 72 nt
Organism: Ovis aries (sheep)
Lineage: Eukaryota; Metazoa; Chordata; Mammalia; Artiodactyla; Bovidae
Rfam family: tRNA
About the family: Transfer RNA (tRNA) molecules are approximately 80 nucleotides in length. Their secondary structure includes four short double-helical elements and three loops (D, anti-codon, and T loops).
Source: Rfam